RNAcentral lists this ribosomal RNA (399 nucleotides) under Triticum aestivum (bread wheat). Its description in RNAcentral is "partial small subunit ribosomal RNA". The record is from RNAcentral. Lineage: Eukaryota; Viridiplantae; Streptophyta; Magnoliopsida; Poales; Poaceae.
AUGAUAGGUCUAUUUUGGAAUUGUAGGGGGGCAAGGAAAAAAGGGAUGAAAACAUGUCUUUCCCAUAUGAUUAAGGACCAUUCCCUUGACUUUAUGUGUCUGCAAGAAAUGCUUAAGAAGAAUUUUUUGGAUAGUUAUUUUAGGAAGCUCGAUCCAUACAACUUAUUUGAGUGGGAAUGGAUCCCCUCAAUUGGCAAGGCCAGAGGCAUUCUGUGUGGGGUUCAGAAGGAGAAGUUUGAGGUAGUUGCUUGGAGAAAAGGCAGGUUCAUUCUCCAGGUAUCUCUCUAUGAUAUUAAUAUAAAGAAGAUUUGGACUCUUUGCAGUGUUUAUGGAGCAGCCCAUGAGGGGGAUAAAAAUGAUUGGCUGAUUUCUGCUGCCAUAUUCAAACACCUUUGUUGA